RNAcentral lists this ribosomal RNA (226 nucleotides) under uncultured bacterium. Its description in RNAcentral is "partial 16S ribosomal RNA". It matches the Rfam family "Bacterial small subunit ribosomal RNA", at positions 118 to 345 of the family's 1533-position model. The record is from RNAcentral.
UGAGCAAUCUGCCCUUCACAUCGGAAUAACCAUUGGAAACGAUGGCUAAUACCGAAUAUGACUUCGGAUCGCAUGAUCUGAAGUGGAAAGCUCCGGCGGAGAAGGAUGAGCUCGCGGCCUAUCAGCUAGUUGGUGUGGGUAAUGGCCCACAAGGCGACGACGGGUAGCCGGCCUGAGAGGGUGACCGGCCACACUGGGACUGAGACACGGCCCAGAUCCGUACGGG